Molecule: ribosomal RNA, 253 nt
Filed under: uncultured bacterium
Lineage: Bacteria
Description: partial 16S ribosomal RNA
Rfam family: Bacterial small subunit ribosomal RNA
Source: RNAcentral
GACAGAGGGUGCAAACGUUGUUCGGAAUUACUGGGCGUAAAGCGAGUGUAGGCGGUCUCAUAAGUCGGGUGUGAAAGCCCUGGGCUCAACCCAGGAAGUGCACUCGAUACUGCGAGGCUAGAGUAUCGGAGAGGUUGGUGGAAUUCUCGGUGUAGAGGUGAAAUUCGUAGAUAUCGAGAGGAACACCGGUGGCGAAGGCGGCGAUCUGGGUCGAUACUGACGCUGAGGUGCGAAAGCGUGGGGAGCGAACAGG